UGGGGAAUUUUGGACAAUGGGCGCAAGCCUGAUCCAGCAAUGCCGCGUGAGUGAAGAAGGCCUUCGGGUUGUAAAGCUCUUUUGUCAGGGAAGAAACGGCCUGGGCUAAUAUCCUGGGCUAAUGACGGUACCUGAAGAAUAAGCACCGGCUAACUACGUGCCAGCAGCCGCGGUAAUACGUAGGGUGCAAGCGUUAAUCGGAAUUACUGGGCGUAAAGCGUGCGCAGGCGGUUUUGUAAGUCUGACGUGAAAUCCCCGGGCUUAACCUGGGAAUUGCGUUGGAGACUGCAAGGCUGGAGUCUGGCAGAGGGGGGUAGAAUUCCACGUGUAGCAGUGAAAUGCGUAGAGAUGUGGAGGAACACCGAUGGCGAAGGCAGCCCCCUGGGUCAAGACUGACGCUCAUGCACGAAAGCGUGGGGAGCAAACA
Molecule: ribosomal RNA, 427 nt
Filed under: uncultured Massilia sp.
Lineage: Bacteria; Pseudomonadati; Pseudomonadota; Betaproteobacteria; Burkholderiales; Oxalobacteraceae
Description: bacterial SSU rRNA
Rfam family: Bacterial small subunit ribosomal RNA
Source: RNAcentral